Molecule: long non-coding RNA, 731 nt
Filed under: Sus scrofa (pig)
Lineage: Eukaryota; Metazoa; Chordata; Mammalia; Artiodactyla; Suidae
Description: lncRNA (ENSSSCG00045031055.1)
Source: RNAcentral
GCGUGGUACAGACAAUGAGUGCAUUUGUCUGUAGGGCGGGAAGCGGUUUCCCAGAGCGCACGAGAUUUGCAUAGGUGAAAGGGAACUCAUCUUUUACAGAAGAUGAAUUAUUCUAAAGGAAUCUUGCCCUAGGUUGUUUAGAGUACGGGUGCAUACAGAUUUCCUGGAUGAAACAGGAGGUGCUGCUAGCAAAAUGCCUUCUUUCUCACCUCGUGCAAUGUAAAAUAACCGAUACCACACUAAAAGCAAAUAUUUAAAAGUCGGAGGUGUAUCCGUGAGCCCCAGACACCGCCUUAGAAUCGUUUUCAAGCAACCACUUCUCUCAAGUUCACGCAAAGGAAAGGGAGGAAGAUGAGCAGAGUUUUAUUCGAGGAUCGUUGGAAGCAAGGAAUGCAGAUGAGCCUGAGGAACGGAUGGACCUGAACCAGAAGACAGCACGUCUAAAGCACCUAAUCUCUGUCUACUCGAGUUUUCUGUCUGUUCCUUUAUCCAACUCUGUUGUACACAGCAGGAUUGGACUCUGGCUCCUGGCUUUAUAGUUCUAAUCACCCGGAGGACCUGACUGGAGACCUCUCCCUCCCAGUUCCAACUGUCUUAAGGGAAAAGUAAGGAAUCCGAGUGGCCCAGCUCAGAUUAGGUGACCAUCACCAAGAAACUUAACAAUACUUCAUAUUCUGGCGAUGGCAGAUAUGGGAAAGAGUGGGCAGGAAGAUUCGGCCAAUGGAAGAGAG